AAUAUAUUUAAAUUCGUGGCAUUUGAGAAAAGCAAACAAAUAAAUAAAUAACACAUUAAAAGAUCAAACACUAUCAUAUAGUGUUGCUUUAUUCCAAAUGGUGUAGAUUACAAGAUUUUAUCACCAAGUUCUUGAAAUAUUUGUGUCAAUUACCAUUGUUUGCCCUCUUAUCCAAUUAUAAAAUUUCCUAAAUUUAGAGUUAUCUCCAUAUAUAGAAAGAGCACGAUCAUUACAAGUAUCAAUAUAUGUUGUCAUUGCACUAAGAUCAACAUGGGUUGUAUUAUAGUAUUUUGCCUGACAUCUUAUUCAGUCUUCCUCAUUGCAUCCAUUGCAAGUCCAUACACCUCCUUGCAUGUCUUAAGACAUUAAUCCGUGGCGUACGUGUCCCUUUGAGGCGACAUGAGUCUUUUUUGAAAUUCCAAUGGUUUUCUUAAAGGACGAGGAUUUGGAAAAGGAAAAGGACAAUGAUGAGAAUGGGGUCGAUUUAGAUGGAGAAUGGGGAGGUGCUUAAAAUUUAGGGAUAUUGUAUCGCUUAGGUGGGAGGGGUUUCUUAUAGGACGAGGGUGUGGGCGAGGACGGUUUAGAUGGAGAAAGGGGAGGUGCUUGGGAUUUAGGGACAUUGUAUCCCUUAGGCGAGAGGGGUUUCUUAUAGGACGGGGGUAAGGGCGACGAUGGUUUAGAUGAAGAAAGAGAAGGUGCUUGGGAUUUAGGGACAUUGUAUCCCUUAGGUAGGUGGGUUUCCUAAUAGGAUGAGGGUGAGGUCGAGGAUGAGGAUGAGGACAAGAAUGAGGAUGAAAACGAGGACGAUUUAGAUGCUUGGAAUUUAGGAAUAAAGAAUGUUGCUUUAGAUGGAAGGGUUGUCAGGAAUAGAGAAAUGACAAGGACUAGAAAAACUUGGUUAUAAAAUGCCAUUGUCUUUCUUUUUAAUUUAAUAAUAGAGAGAAAGUUAAAAAGAAAGACAAUGGAAAAAAAAAAGAUGCACAAUAUGGAGAUUCAUUCGGGGUGUAUUUAUAUCUAAAAUGAGCUAUAGAUUUCUUG
RNAcentral lists this long non-coding RNA (1038 nucleotides) under Capsicum annuum. Its description in RNAcentral is "long non-coding RNA (CANN_LNC021445)". Lineage: Eukaryota; Viridiplantae; Streptophyta; Magnoliopsida; Solanales; Solanaceae. The record is from RNAcentral.